Molecule: long non-coding RNA, 495 nt
Organism: Oncorhynchus masou masou (cherry salmon)
Lineage: Eukaryota; Metazoa; Chordata; Actinopteri; Salmoniformes; Salmonidae
Exons: 3
Source: RefSeq, a predicted model, not a curated record
UUGAGAGAACAGGUCUUUUGAGAGAACAGGUCUUUUGAGAGAACAGGUCUUUUGAGAGAACAGGUCUUUUGAGAGAACAGGUCUUUUGAGAGAACAGGUCUUUGAGAGAACAGGUCUUUUGAGAGAACAGUCAGAGAGAGAACAGUCAGAGAUAGAGAACAGUCCGGGAGAACUGGUCUUCGGGAGAACUGGUCUUCGGGAGAACAGGUCUUUGGGAGAACAGGUCUUUGGGAGAACAGUCAGAGAGAACUGGUCUUUGAGAGAACAGGUCUUUUGAGAGAACAGGUCUUUUGAGAGAACAGGUCUUUGGGAGAACAGGUCUUUGGGAGACCAGGUCAGAGAGAGACCAGGUCAGAGAGAGACCAGGUCAGAGAGAGACCAGGUCAGAGAGAGACCAGGUCAGAGAGAGACCAGGUCAGAGAGAGACCAGGUCAGAGAGAGACCAGGUCAGAGAGAGACCAGGUCAGAGAGAGACCAGGUCUUGUGCUGCCAUCU